Molecule: ribosomal RNA, 183 nt
Filed under: Atyaephyra desmarestii
Lineage: Eukaryota; Metazoa; Arthropoda; Malacostraca; Decapoda; Atyidae
Description: partial 18S ribosomal RNA
Rfam family: Eukaryotic small subunit ribosomal RNA
Source: RNAcentral
AAGGGUUAGUGAGGCCUUCUUCCUGGCGGUUGGACUGGGCUCCACUCGUCACCCCUGGGCGCCUCGUGCGUGCUGGGGCCGGUGGGCUCGCCUCGACGCGCCGGAAAGAUGUCCAAACUUGAUCAUUUAGAGGAAGUAAAAGUCGUAACAAGGUUUCCGUAGGUGAACCUGCGGAAGGAUCAU